GAUGGACGCUGGCGGCGUGCCUAAUACAUGCGAGUCGAGCGAACAGACGAGGAGCUUGCUCCUCUGACGUUAGCGGCGGACGGGUGAGUAACACGUGGAUAACCUACCUAUAAGACUGGGAUAACUUCGGGAAACCGGAGCUAAUACCGGAUAAUAUAUUGAACCGCAUGGUUCAAUAGUGAAAGACGGUUUUGCUUUCACUUAUAGAUGGAUCCGCGCCGCAUUAGCUAGUUGGUAAGGUAACGGCUUACCAAGGCAACGAUGCGUAGCCGACCUGAGAGGGUGAUCGGCCACACUGGAACUGAGACACGGUCCAGACUCCUACGGGAGGCAGCAGUAGGGAAUCUUCCGCAAUGGGCGAAAGCCUGACGGAGCAACGCCGCGUGAGUGAUGAAGGUCUUCGGAUCGUAAAACUCUGUUAUUAGGGAAGAACAAAUGUGUAAGUAACUAUGCACGUCUUGACGGUACCUAAUCAGAAAGCCACGGCUAACUACGUG
RNAcentral lists this ribosomal RNA (497 nucleotides) under uncultured bacterium. Its description in RNAcentral is "partial 16S ribosomal RNA". It matches the Rfam family "Bacterial small subunit ribosomal RNA", at positions 28 to 507 of the family's 1533-position model. The record is from RNAcentral.